Molecule: long non-coding RNA, 4335 nt
Organism: Heterocephalus glaber (naked mole-rat)
Lineage: Eukaryota; Metazoa; Chordata; Mammalia; Rodentia; Bathyergidae
Source: Ensembl
CAAGCUCCUCAGAGGAUUCUCUUUCGCAGCCAGAGUUGAGAAUCACUGAGGUUUUCAGCCAAGACAGCAGGAGGGGCUGGUGCGGUUGGCCUUGCCAUAGCUGCAGGACAUCCCUGUGGAGAGGUUUGUUCACUCACAGGUGUGGACCACCAUGACUGCCACCCUGGAGGCUUCCACCAAGCAGACCAUAACUGGACAGGAGGAUGCUCUGUGACGACACCGUCUCACCAGGGGAAUGAGUAGCACACUUUCGUUUCCUUGGAGCCAAACAACAAUCGUGCUCGCCUUUUACUGAGAGCUUCCUGAGUGCUGGGAACAGGGUCGGAUGCAUCAUCUUGUGGCAUCCCUCCCUCUGCCGACACACGGUGAUUUCAGCUGUUUUUGUCUAGGAAGAUUUCUAAUUCUUCUAGAACUCAAAGUUCUUAGGGAAACGCCAUAUCAAGUAAGUGUUUUUAUAUCUAGGUUUUCAAACCUUUGUAUUCCUGUGACUCUGGGAGCUUUGGAAGGUGCUAUGGACGGGCUGUUGGGAGCUUCGGGCUGGGUCUCUGAGGGCGUCCUUGGAGCAAGACUGUGGCAGGCUCCAGGGAUGAGAUGCAGAGGAGAGGAGCUGCCAGGGGUGGCACUGCCAGGGAAAGGCGUUUCAUUUCUCCUCUCUGGGCGACAUCAGGGAGGAAUCCGGACAGUGACCUGGGCUGAGGAACUAUGGGGUCCCGGUGCUGUAAGUGCUUCAGGCCUGUAGCCCCGGGAUGGGCGCUGAGGGAGAUCAGAAUGUCCUGAGAUUCCCAGGGUGAGCAGCAGGCAAGCGGAGCAUCCAGGGAGCUCAACACACAGCCCGCAUCUGUGGCCACAUCUGCGCCAGCUGCCCAUCACUCUCAAGAGAGCCGUGUGGCGGAGGAUGGGAGGGUUCCAACUUCAUAGAUGGGACAAAUAAUUCAGUGUCAUUUCAGCUAAGCGCCCUUUACUUCCGUAGUCCAGAUGGGCACACAGCCACCUGGAGAGAGAAGCCAACGACCAACAUAUUCCAGAGAGAUUAAUUACCAGGGGAAGCUGUUAAAAAAAAAUGAGAAUUACAGAGGAAUUGGUGUCACCAAAGUGAGCCUCGUCGUAACAGCGACAAGUAUAGAGUUUUAUCGCAGCAGAAUGGCAUCCUUGUUGCGCAGUCUGUAACGCAGAGAAGUGGCACCAGAGUUAAACGCGGUUUGUCCCCAAGUUCAUGAGCUGGGAGCUGGCUCCCCAGUGGAACAGCAUGGACAGGUAGUGGGAUCGUUGAGACACAAGUCCUAGAAGGAGGUAAUGGGUCAUGACUCACGUGUGAAGGGAUUAAUGCAGGUCUCACCAGAGUAGAUCGGUUCCCCAGAGAGCAGGUUCUUGUGAAAGACAGAGGGCGUCUCCUGCGUCCAUGCUCAGCUGCUCUCUUUCUUACACACUUUCUGGCUGUGUGAUGCAAUCCACCAUGAGGUAAGGAUCAGAAGCUGAUGCCAACACCAUACUCCUGGACCUCCAGAGCUAGAAGCUGAGUAAACCUCUUUUCUUUCAAUAACACCAAGCCCCAGAUAUUUUGUUACAGCAACACCAAGCCAAUAAGAUAAGUGGACUUCAGUCUACAAAGGUAUUUGCUGAGAACAUUUUAGGUUAAGUAGAAUUGUUUUACAAAUAGCUUCUUCUCAUCUUCAGUGUGCAAUACAAUGGAAAUCACCAGGGAUGUCUGGAAAACAUCUCUACAUUGGAAAUAUUUAGGUAUCUCAGAAAAUUGAAUUAAUUCACUGCAGGAAAAAAAAGUUCUCUUACUUGGCAGGUAUUUUCCAAACAGGACAAAUACAUUCAAAGUAAUUUUUGUUUCAGUGGCUGCUACAAGAAGCUAUAAAAAUUACUGGCACUAUCGUAAGUUUGUUUUGGAGGAUAAAGCAUAUGAAGCAGAAAGAAUAAUCCUUAUUACUUAACAAAUAUGCAGCCAACCUGCCCCUAGCCCUCGUCCUCCAUGAGUGUCCCCUCUACUGUGUCCCCAAGACCUCGGUCCCCCAUGCCCCUGCUGCUCCUCACGAGAGUGCUAACGCCCAGCCUUGCAGGCUGAAAGGCAGGGACAGCCACUGCCCGCCCAGGUAGGGGUGGGCGGGAGGGAGGAGCCCCGUCCAGAUGCACUGGAGCUCACUGUCUGCCUGGGUGACACACCUUCCCAAGUGGGCUGUGUGCCUCGGCCACAUGCAGACCGCUCUUGCUUUACAAUGCUUUGACUUGUAAUGUUCUGACCUGCCAGUGGGGCAAAAGUGAUAGAUCCUCAGGAUAAAUCAUACUUCAAAUUGUGAAUUUCGCUUUGCUCCCAGGAAAGCCAGGUUUGGCACGGUUGCCCUGGCGAUGCUGGGUGCCAUCGCUGAGCCACAGCUCUGUCAGAGGGAGCCGACAGGCUGUCUACAUGGCAGCAGGGUCUGAAUGACCACCCGGCGGCAGGACACGCCUGGCCCUCCUGGGUUCCCCUGAGGGACGAGGAAUUGUCUUAGGACCCAUAGGAAAAGUGGGAUGUAGUUAAUGUAUCUAAGUGAGAAAACUUUCUUUUCUAACUUUUUUUUUAAUUAGCAGGAGUGUGUGACCCACAGGUUGGACACAGCUGCUCCACAGCAUGCUGUUUUGCUCUUAGGUGGGUGAAUUUGAUAUCGACUUCUGAUAUUUUCCACUCAGGAUGGGUUUAUGGGAUGUAAGCUCUUCCCAGGUCCAGGAACAUCUGUAAUAGAUACCACAAAUGGUGUAAACAGCUAUUUUGAAUUUCAAAUAUUCUAGUAGGACAAAUGGAUAGAUUUCCCUAAUUAUUCAUUGUGAUACGUUCCAGUCUUCUUGUUUGAGAAGGAAUUUCUCACCCACUCUGUGGGUCUCUCUCUGCUUCCUGGAGCAAGGACCCAGUGCCACCCUGGACCUGGGGCCACCGCAGGAAGAAGAGGUAGCAGAGACUGAAGCAGGGCCUACAAAGACCAGGAAUGUCCCAAGAUCCCAGGGCCCAGAAAACCCAGGAAUUCCUCCUCACCUCCACCCAGUGACCACUUUUCUCUCUCCCUUCUCUCAAAAACAUAGCCGCUUUAACUUCUUUCCUUGGGCCUAUGUUAACGGACGUUCCUUUAGUCUCGAGAACAAAAUCAUGUCGUCUUGGUUAAGUGGCAUUUCACUGUGACCGCUGGUCCCUGGCCACCAACUGAGGCCCGAGUAAGCAGAGACGGCCCACCCUGUGCCCCCACCACAUGCGCCCCUGCCCCACACCUGCUCCUGCGUGGCUAAUGUGGGAAACCUUGGGAUGGUGAGAGGAACAGUAAGUAGCUGGGCUGGUGUCUGGAGUGUCCCUAGAUGAAACUGUUCAGGCGGAACCAUCACACGGGUCACAAGGCACCUUCCUAAAGGGAAGAGCCAGCGUUUACACCAGGUAAACUGGGGUGUGGACUGGGAAUUGAGUCCCAUCGAAAUAGCUGCUGGAAGAAACCUGUGCAUUUAACAUCCUCCUCGGCUUGACCAUCUGCAACACACUGACAAGGCGCCUACUGGAGAGCUCUUAUUUAUUAACUCUUUUACUAAGUGGUAUUGAUUAUCCCCAUGUGGCAGAUGGGGGAAAGAGGGGGCCUGGGGGAUUUCUGCACCUCACUUAGGUAUGUGUGUUACGAUACUGAGAAACAGAUCUUCGGUCUUCUCUCCAAUUCCUGCCACGGGACUCCUAAGACUCUUGGAACCGCCUGAGUGGUAGGCGUGAGAGGAGCGUGUUAGGCUGUUUGUAAUAAACUCCUUGUAAGCAAAUCUGAAAAGCGCCUGUAAGGUAUCUUUUAGUGGAUGCCUUGGGGGUGUGUGUGGGUGUGUGUGUGUGUGUACAUGCAGAGCUGGGGAUUGAGUCCAAGACUUGUGCACUGAGCUACUCCCCCAGCCCUUUUUAUAUUUUUUGUUUUGAAGGAGGCUCUUGGUGAGUUAGUUGCCCAGGCUGGGGUUAAAUUUGCAGUCUUCCUGCCUCAGCCUCCAGAGUGCUGGGAUUACAGGCAUGUGCUGCCAUGCUUCACCAUUUUUAUUCCUGAAGCCUGAUUUUUAUCUGCCUCAACCCUCAGACGACAGUCCAGGCUGACUAUGAUGGUGCACACUUGUACUCCCUGCUUUUCAAGGCUGAAGCAAGAGGAUCCCACGUUCAAACACAGCCUGAGCAACUCAGUGAGCCCUUCCCUUCGAGUGAAAUGCUUGCCCGGAAUGCACAAGGCCUUGAAUUCAAACCUAAGCACUGCAAACAGAGGCAGCGCGUGUGUCUAGAGGACCCACACACCCAACCCCAGAGGAAGGGAGAGGGGCCGUGGGUCGAGUGGCCACUGGCCGGGGAUUUAA